UGAGCCCUUUUGCAGGUUGGGUAGUUCCUAGGUAUAGAGGAGAUUAUGCCGGAUUUUCAGCAAACCUUAGGGUGUUUUUGAUCCUUUUUUAAGUUUGUAUUGAGUCAAUGAUAUUAAAUAAUUGUUAGGUGAGCCGGGACAGCCUUCCUACACCCAGCAGCCGCAGUGACCUCGAUUCAACUCUAUGAGUAAAAUAUUAAUUUAAUUAUAAUUUCAAUAUUAUU
This 224-nucleotide unclassified non-coding RNA is filed under the name Hevea brasiliensis (rubber tree). Lineage: Eukaryota; Viridiplantae; Streptophyta; Magnoliopsida; Malpighiales; Euphorbiaceae. The record is from RNAcentral.